This 2906-nucleotide ribosomal RNA is filed under the name Serratia marcescens. Its description in RNAcentral is "23S ribosomal RNA". It matches the Rfam family "Bacterial large subunit ribosomal RNA". Lineage: Bacteria; Pseudomonadati; Pseudomonadota; Gammaproteobacteria; Enterobacterales; Yersiniaceae. The record is from RNAcentral.
UUAAGUGACUAAGCGUACACGGUGGAUGCCUAGGCAGUCAGAGGCGAUGAAGGGCGUGCUAAUCUGCGAAAAGCGUCGGUAAGGUGAUAUGAACCGUUAUAACCGGCGAUACCCGAAUGGGGAAACCCAGUGUGUUUCGACACACUAUCAUGUCAUGAAUACAUAGUGGCAUGAGGCGAACCGGGGGAACUGAAACAUCUAAGUACCCCGAGGAAAAGAAAUCAACCGAGAUUCCCCCAGUAGCGGCGAGCGAACGGGGAGGAGCCCAGAACCUGAAUCGGCUUGUGUGUUAGUGGAAGCGUCUGGAAAGUCGCGCAGUAAAGGGUGAUAGCCCCGUACACUAAAAUGCACAGGUCGUGAGUUCGAUGAGUAGGGCGGGACACGUGACAUCCUGUCUGAAUAUGGGGGGACCAUCCUCCAAGGCUAAAUACUCCUGACUGACCGAUAGUGAACCAGUACCGUGAGGGAAAGGCGAAAAGAACCCCGGCGAGGGGAGUGAAAUAGAACCUGAAACCGUGUACGUACAAGCAGUGGGAGCACCUUCGUGGUGUGACUGCGUACCUUUUGUAUAAUGGGUCAGCGACUUAUAUUUUGUAGCAAGGUUAACCGUAUAGGGGAGCCGUAGGGAAACCGAGUCUUAACUGGGCGAAUAGUUGCAAGGUAUAGACCCGAAACCCGGUGAUCUAGCCAUGGGCAGGUUGAAGGUUGGGUAACACUAACUGGAGGACCGAACCGACUAAUGUUGAAAAAUUAGCGGAUGACUUGUGGCUGGGGGUGAAAGGCCAAUCAAACCGGGAGAUAGCUGGUUCUCCCCGAAAGCUAUUUAGGUAGCGCCUCGUGAACUCAUCUUCGGGGGUAGAGCACUGUUUCGGCUAGGGGGCCAUCCCGGCUUACCAAACCGAUGCAAACUCCGAAUACCGAAGAAUGUUAUCACGGGAGACACACGGCGGGUGCUAACGUCCGUCGUGAAGAGGGAAACAACCCAGACCGCCAGCUAAGGUCCCAAAGUCAUGGUUAAGUGGGAAACGAUGUGGGAAGGCAUAGACAGCCAGGAUGUUGGCUUAGAAGCAGCCAUCAUUUAAAGAAAGCGUAAUAGCUCACUGGUCGAGUCGGCCUGCGCGGAAGAUGUAACGGGGCUAAACCAUGCACCGAAGCUGCGGCAGCGACGUUUAGGCGUUGUUGGGUAGGGGAGCGUUCUGUAAGCCGUUGAAGGUGGCCUGUGAGGGUUGCUGGAGGUAUCAGAAGUGCGAAUGCUGACAUAAGUAACGAUAAAGCGGGUGAAAAGCCCGCUCGCCGGAAGACCAAGGGUUCCUGUCCAACGUUAAUCGGGGCAGGGUGAGUCGACCCCUAAGGCGAGGCUGAAAAGCGUAGUCGAUGGGAAACAGGUUAAUAUUCCUGUACUUGGUGUUACUGCGAAGGGGGGACGGAGAAGGCUAGGCUAGCCGGGCGACGGUUGUCCCGGUUUAAGCGUGUAGGGGGUGUGACCUGGUAAAUCCGGUUGCAUAUCAACCCUGAGGCGUGAUGACGAUGCACUACGGUGCAGAAGUAGUUGAUGCCCUGCUUCCAGGAAAAGCCUCUAAGCUCCAGGUAACAUUGAAUCGUACCCCAAACCGACACAGGUGGUCAGGUAGAGAAUACCAAGGCGCUUGAGAGAACUCGGGUGAAGGAACUAGGCAAAAUGGUGCCGUAACUUCGGGAGAAGGCACGCUGGCAUGUAGGUGAAGUCCCUUGCGGAUGGAGCUGAAGCCAGUCGAAGAUACCAGCUGGCUGCAACUGUUUAAUAAAAACACAGCACUGUGCAAACACGAAAGUGGACGUAUACGGUGUGACGCCUGCCCGGUGCUGGAAGGUUAAUUGAUGGGGUCAGCCGCAAGGCGAAGCUCUUGAUCGAAGCCCCAGUAAACGGCGGCCGUAACUAUAACGGUCCUAAGGUAGCGAAAUUCCUUGUCGGGUAAGUUCCGACCUGCACGAAUGGCGUAAUGAUGGCCAGGCUGUCUCCACCCGAGACUCAGUGAAAUUGAACUCGCUGUGAAGAUGCAGUGUACCCGCGGCAAGACGGAAAGACCCCGUGAACCUUUACUAUAGCUUGACACUGAACAUUGAGCCUUGAUGUGUAGGAUAGGUGGGAGGCUUUGAAGCGUGGACGCCAGUCUGCGUGGAGCCAUCCUUGAAAUACCACCCUUUAAUGUUUGAUGUUCUAACUCGGCCCCAUAAUCUGGGGUGAGGACAGUGUCUGGUGGGUAGUUUGACUGGGGCGGUCUCCUCCCAAAGAGUAACGGAGGAGCACGAAGGUUAGCUAAUCACGGUCGGACAUCGUGAGGUUAGUGCAAAGGCAUAAGCUAGCUUGACUGCGAGAGUGACGGCUCGAGCAGGUACGAAAGUAGGUCUUAGUGAUCCGGUGGUUCUGAAUGGAAGGGCCAUCGCUCAACGGAUAAAAGGUACUCCGGGGAUAACAGGCUGAUACCGCCCAAGAGUUCAUAUCGACGGCGGUGUUUGGCACCUCGAUGUCGGCUCAUCACAUCCUGGGGCUGAAGUAGGUCCCAAGGGUAUGGCUGUUCGCCAUUUAAAGUGGUACGCGAGCUGGGUUUAGAACGUCGUGAGACAGUUCGGUCCCUAUCUGCCGUGGGCGUUGGAAGAUUGAGAGGGGUUGCUCCUAGUACGAGAGGACCGGAGUGAACGCACCACUGGUGUUCGGGUUGUCAUGCCAAUGGCAUUGCCCGGUAGCUAAGUGCGGAAAAGAUAAGCGCUGAAAGCAUCUAAGCGCGAAACUUGCCUCAAGAUGAGUCUUCCCUGGGCCUUUAAGGUCCCUGAAGGAACGUUUAAGACUAAGACGUUGAUAGGCUGGGUGUGUAAGUGCAGCGAUGCAUUGAGCUAACCAGUACUAAUGAUCCGUGAGGCUUAACCUU